AUGAACCCCUCCUCGGCCCCGGGGCCGGAUGGACUGCCAGUGUCCUUUUUCAAAGCAUUCUCGUAGACCAUCAAACCUGAGGUAAUGGCCCUCUUCGACGAAGUCUUCUCAGGGACCAUGGACCUCGGGCGCCUUAACUAUGGGGUCAUUACUCUCAUCCCCAAAGUCUAGGGUGCGAAUGACAUUCACCAGUUCCAGCCUAUCACUGUCAUCAAUGUGAUAUUCUGGAUCCUGGCCAAAGGGUACGCCAAUAGGAUGACCCUUUUAGCUAACACAAUCACUCAUCCUAAUCAAUCGGCCUUCAUUCACAGGCAAUUUAUUCUGGAUGGAGUGUUGGUUUUCCAUGAGGUCCUUCAUGAAGUCUGCUCCAAACACCACUAG
RNAcentral lists this ribosomal RNA (381 nucleotides) under Triticum aestivum (bread wheat). Its description in RNAcentral is "partial small subunit ribosomal RNA". The record is from RNAcentral. Lineage: Eukaryota; Viridiplantae; Streptophyta; Magnoliopsida; Poales; Poaceae.